CACCUGCACCACCCAUGUUUAUUGUACCUUGAUGCUUCGGUGCGCCCGCCUCCGGCCGCCGGGGGGCUUCUGCCCCCGGGUCCGCGCGCACCGGAGACACCAUUGAACUCUGUCUGAAGAUUGCAGUCUGAGCAUAAACUAAAUAAGUUAAAACUUUCAACAACGGAUCUCUUGGUUCCGGCAUCGAUGAAGAACGCAGCGAAAUGCGAUAACUAAUGUGAAUUGCAGAAUUCAGUGAAUCAUCGAGUCUUUGAACGCACAUUGCGCCCCCUGGUAUUCCGGGGGGCAUGCCUGUCCGAGCGUCAUUGCUGCCCUCAAGCACGGCUUGUGUGUUGGGCUCCGUCCCCCCGGGGACGGGUCCGAAAGGCAGCGGCGGCACCGAGUCCGGUCCUCGAGCGUAUGGGGCUUUGUCACCCGCUCUGUAGGCCCGGCCGGCGCCAGCCGACAACCAAUCAUCCUUUUUUCAGGUUGACCUCGGAUCAGGUAGGGAUACCCGCUGAACUUAAGCAUAUCAAUAAGCG
This 521-nucleotide ribosomal RNA is filed under the name Penicillium thomii. RNAcentral describes it as "eukaryotic LSU rRNA". The stretch from base 152 to 305 matches the Rfam family "5.8S ribosomal RNA". Lineage: Eukaryota; Fungi; Ascomycota; Eurotiomycetes; Eurotiales; Aspergillaceae. The record is from RNAcentral.